AUGCUAACUGAUGGGCCCUUUCCAACAAUGCAGAGAGAAACAUUACAGAAAAAUAAUAACAAAAGGAAUAAAUACAUAAUGGAUACCAGGUAAUAACAUGGUUAUAUACAGGAAGUACCAGGUAAUAACAUGGUUAUAUACAGGAAGUACCAGGUAAUAACAUGGUUAUAUACAGGAAGUACCAGGUAAUAACAUGGUUAUAUACAGGAAGUACCAGGUAAUAACAUGGUUAUAUACAGGAAGUACCAGGUAAUAACAUGGUUAUAUACAGGAAGUACCAGGUAAUAACAUGGUUAUAUACAGGAAGUACCAGGUAAUAACAUGGUUAUAUACAGGAAGUACCAGGUAAU
Molecule: long non-coding RNA, 350 nt
Organism: Oncorhynchus keta (chum salmon)
Lineage: Eukaryota; Metazoa; Chordata; Actinopteri; Salmoniformes; Salmonidae
Exons: 3
Source: RefSeq, a predicted model, not a curated record